CUUCGGGUUAGUGGCGGACGGGUGAGUAACGCGUGAGAAUCUGCCCUCAGGAGGGGGAUAACGGCUGGAAACGGCCGCUAAUACCCCAUAUGCCGAGAGGUGAAAUGAAUUUCGCCUGAGGAUGAGCUCGCGUCUGAUUAGCUAGUUGGUGAGGUAAUGGCUCACCAAGGCUUCGAUCAGUAGCUGGUCUGAGAGGAUGAUCAGCCACACUGGGACUGAGACACGGCCCAGACUCCUACGGGAGGCAGCAGUGGGGAAUUUUCCGCAAUGGGCGAAAGCCUGACGGAGCAACGCCGCGUGAGGGAUGAAGGCCUCUGGGCUGUAAACCUCUUUUAUCAAGGAAGAAGAUCUGACGGUACUUGAUGAAUAAGCCACGGCUAAUUCCGUGCCAGCAGCCGCGGUAAUACGGGAGUGGCAAGCGUUAUCCGGAAUUAUUGGGCGUAAAGCGUCCGCAGGCGGUUUUGAAAGUCUGUUGUUAAAGCGUGGAGCUUAACUCCAUUUCAGCAAUGGAAACUACAAGACUAGAGUGUGGUAGGGGCAGAGGGAAUUCCCGGUGUAGCGGUGAAAUGCGUAGAUAUCGGGAAGAACACCAGUGGCGAAGGCGCUCUGCUGGGCCAUAACUGACGCUCAUGGACGAAAGCCAGGGGAGCGAAAGGGAUUAGAUACCCCUGUAGUCCUGGCCGUAAACGAUGAACACUAGGUGUCGGGGGAAUCGACCCCCUCGGUGUCGUAGCCAACGCGUUAAGUGUUCCGCCUGGGGAGUACGCACGCAAGUGUGAAACUCAAAGGAAUUGACGGGGGCCCGCACAAGCGGUGGAGUAUGUGGUUUAAUUCGAUGCAACGCGAAGAACCUUACCAGGGUUUGACAUCCUGCGAAUCCCUUGGAAACUUGGGAGUGCCUUCGGGAGCGCAGUGACAGGUGGUGCAUGGCUGUCGUCAGCUCGUGUCGUGAGAUGUUGGGUUAAGUCCCGCAACGAGCGCAACCCACGUCUUUAGUUGCCAGCAUUUAGUUGGGCACUCUAGAGAGACUGCCGGUGAUAAACCGGAGGAAGGUGUGGAUGACGUCAAGUCAUCAUGCCCCUUACAUCCUGGGCUACACACGUACUACAAUGCUACGGACAAAGGGCAGCAAACUCGCGAGAGCUAGCAAAUCCCAUAAACCGUGGCUCAGUUCAGAUCGUAGGCUGCAACUCGCCUACGUGAAGGAGGAAUCGCUAGUAAUCGCAGGUCAGCAUACUGCGGUGAAUACGUUCCCGGGCCUUGUACACACCGCCCGUCACACCAUGGAAGUUGGCCACGCCCGAAGUCGUUACUCCAACCCUUGUGGAGGAGGAUGCCGAAGGUGGGGCUGAUGACUGGGGUGAAGUCGUAACAAGGUAGCCGUACCGGAAGGUGC
RNAcentral lists this ribosomal RNA (1396 nucleotides) under uncultured Synechococcus sp. Its description in RNAcentral is "bacterial SSU rRNA". It matches the Rfam family "Bacterial small subunit ribosomal RNA". The record is from RNAcentral. Lineage: Bacteria; Bacillati; Cyanobacteriota; Cyanophyceae; Synechococcales; Synechococcaceae.